GCGUGUGCCGGUGCAACGUCCGACCAUUUAAAAAUAAUCACCGGCUACACAUGUAGAAGCUCGCGGAGAGAGCGAUUAGGACAGGGGUUCGACUCCCCUCGCCUCCAAUU
This 110-nucleotide transfer-messenger RNA is filed under the name Verrucomicrobiota bacterium. RNAcentral describes it as "partial transfer-messenger RNA". It matches the Rfam family "transfer-messenger RNA", at positions 263 to 374 of the family's 374-position model. From Rfam's summary of the family: Bacterial tmRNA, also known as 10Sa RNA or SsrA, is named for its dual tRNA and mRNA-like properties. The record is from RNAcentral. Lineage: Bacteria; Pseudomonadati; Verrucomicrobiota.